This 77-nucleotide transfer RNA is filed under the name Acidobacteriota bacterium. RNAcentral's name for it is "Acidobacteria bacterium (rhizosphere metagenome) tRNA-Arg". It matches the Rfam family "tRNA". From Rfam's summary of the family: Transfer RNA (tRNA) molecules are approximately 80 nucleotides in length. Their secondary structure includes four short double-helical elements and three loops (D, anti-codon, and T loops). Further hydrogen bonds mediate the characteristic L-shaped molecular structure. tRNAs have two regions of fundamental functional importance: the anti-codon, which is responsible for specific mRNA codon recognition, and the 3' end, to which the tRNAs corresponding amino acid is attached (by aminoacyl-tRNA synthetases). tRNAs cope with the degeneracy of the genetic code in two manners: having more than one tRNA (with a specific anti-codon) for a particular amino acid; and 'wobble' base-pairing, i.e. permitting non-standard base-pairing at the 3rd anti-codon position. The record is from RNAcentral. RNAcentral also lists the same sequence under 2 other names. Lineage: Bacteria; Pseudomonadati; Acidobacteriota.
GCACCCAUAGCUUAAUUGGAUAGAGCAUCUGACUACGGAUCAGAAGGUUGGAGGUUCGAGUCCUCCUGGGUGCACCA